RNAcentral lists this ribosomal RNA (253 nucleotides) under uncultured bacterium. RNAcentral describes it as "partial 16S ribosomal RNA". It matches the Rfam family "Bacterial small subunit ribosomal RNA", at positions 524 to 776 of the family's 1533-position model. The record is from RNAcentral.
UACGAAGGGGGCUAGCGUUGUUCGGAAUUACUGGGCGUAAGGCGUAUGCAGGCGGAUCUCUAAGUCGGGGGUGAAAUCCUGAGGCUCAACCUCAGAACUGCCUUCGAUACUGGAGAUCUUGAGUCCGGGAGAGGUGAGUGGAACUGCGAGUGUAGAGGUGAAAUUCGUAGAUAUUCGCAAGAACACCAGUGGCGAAGGCGGCUCACUGGCCCGGUACUGACGCUGAGAUACGAAAGCGUGGGGAGCAAACAGG